Molecule: ribosomal RNA, 329 nt
Filed under: uncultured eukaryote
Lineage: Eukaryota
Description: partial 18S ribosomal RNA
Rfam family: Eukaryotic small subunit ribosomal RNA
Source: RNAcentral
CCCUUAGAUGUUCUGGGCCGCACGCGCGCUACACUGACGAUGGCAACGAGUUUUUCCUUCGCCGAAAGGUGUGGGUAAUCUUUUGAAACAUCGUCGUGCUGGGGAUAGAUCAUUGCAAUUUUUGAUCUUGAACGAGGAAUUCCUAGUAAGCGCGAGUCAUCAGCUCGCGUUGAUUACGUCCCUGCCCUUUGUACACACCGCCCGUCGCUACUACCGAGUGAAUGGUUUAGUGAGGACUCCUGAUUGGCGCCGCCGCCCCGGCAACGGAGCAGCGGACUGCCGAAAAGUUGUUCAAACUUGAUCAUUUAGAGGAAGUAAAAGUCGUAACA